CUACGGGAGGCAGCAGUAGGGAAUCUUCCGCAAUGGACGAAAGUCUGACGGAGCAACGCCGCGUGAGUGAUGAAGGCUUUCGGGUCGUAAAACUCUGUUGUUAGGGAAGAACAAGUGCUAGUUGAAUAAGCUGGCACCUUGACGGUACCUAACCAGAAAGCCACGGCUAACUACGUGCCAGCAGCCGCGGUAAUACGUAGGUGGCAAGCGUUAUCCGGAAUUAUUGGGCGUAAAGCGCGCGCAGGUGGUUUCUUAAGUCUGAUGUGAAAGCCCACGGCUCAACCGUGGAGGGUCAUUGGGAACUGGGAGACUUGAGUGCAGAAGAGGAAAGUGGAAUUCCAUGUGUAGCGGUGAAAUGCGUAGAGAUAUGGAGGAACACCAGUGGCGAAGGCGACUUUCUGGUCUGUAACUGACACUGAGGCGCGAAAGCGUGGGGAGCAAACAGGAUUAGAUACCCUGGUAGUCCACGCCGUAAACGAUGAGUGCUAAGUGUUAGAGGGUUUCCGCCCUUUAGUGCUGAAGUUAACGCAUUAAGCACUCCGCCUGGGGAGUACGGCCGCAAGGCUGAAACUCAAAGGAAUUGACG
RNAcentral lists this ribosomal RNA (586 nucleotides) under uncultured bacterium. Its description in RNAcentral is "bacterial SSU rRNA". It matches the Rfam family "Bacterial small subunit ribosomal RNA", at positions 339 to 915 of the family's 1533-position model. The record is from RNAcentral.